Molecule: ribosomal RNA, 1038 nt
Filed under: Triticum aestivum (bread wheat)
Lineage: Eukaryota; Viridiplantae; Streptophyta; Magnoliopsida; Poales; Poaceae
Description: partial small subunit ribosomal RNA
Source: RNAcentral
AUGAUCUCAUCCAUCAGCCUACUUGACAGUUCCCACCAGCUCAUUCACAAACUCUACAGAAAAUGCUGGCCAAGUAACUCAAAUGCCAAACUGAACAUGCAUUCAACCGCAAAAUCUGGGGGUAAGAGCAUGAGGCUGAAGAUGGCACUUCUGAAGCCCCAUGCAACUGACUUCAAGAGGAACCACCAAGCCCACGAGGAAGACAAUGUGUUCUACAAAUUAGUUUAUAGGCUCCCUGAAAGCCUUAGCUGUCUGUACGCCAGUCAGAAACCAGUAAGAAAGAAGAAACAGCAGAAGCAAGGAACUGUGCCUAGUAACCGGUUUGGUGUGAUCUUGGAGUGGGAGGGAGUUGUUGUGGAAGAUGAUGAUCCUGACCUGGAGCCCCGAGUGUGGUACGUACUAUCACUUGAAGAGGCAAAGUCUUUUCCUCCGGAUGAAAUGCUGAAGGAAAUUGAGGGAAUGAGAACUGAUCAGGCUAUCUCAGAAGUCUUAAGUUGGUCGAAAGAUGCAAAAGAAAUUGAAAGGUUAGCAGCACGCAAGGAGGUAAUAUAUCAGAAACUCCGAGGCACUUUCUACCAGCUGCGACCAGGUGUUCUUGACUUCUUGAACGCCCUUGUGGAUUCUGACAUUCCAAUAGCAGUAACGGCUUCUCGCCCAAAAAUGAACCUGGAAGAAGGCAUAAAAGCUGUUGGCCUGCAAGGCUAUUUCGAUGUCGUAGUGGCGGCGGAGGACUUCCGCCGAGGGAAACCCGAGGGUGAGAUGUUUGAGGUUGCAGCAGAGCAGCUUGGUCUUGAGCCUGAUGUUUGUCUUGUGAUGGGUAGCUCAAACUUGACGACAGAGUCUGCGCAUACUGCUGGGAUGAGGUGUGUGGCGGUUGCAAGCCGGCACCCUGCCUAUGAACUCCAUGCAGCAAACCAUGUUGUGAGAUGGCUUGAUCAGCUCUCUGUUGUUGACCUGCAGAGGCUCGCCAAUGGCGAGGUUCUUGGGCGCAGGGGCAGACGAUCUGACAUGGACAUGGAGAUUGUGAUCGAGGAGUGA